This is a long non-coding RNA of Cyprinus carpio (common carp), 661 nucleotides long. RefSeq lists it as uncharacterized. Lineage: Eukaryota; Metazoa; Chordata; Actinopteri; Cypriniformes; Cyprinidae. The transcript has 3 exons. The record is from RefSeq and is a predicted model, not a curated record.
ACCAAAACCCACAGUGACCAUUAAACCUGCUCGACAUGUAUUCAGAGGAGAGACAGUCACUCUCAGAUGUGACAUACAUAGUGAAGGAGUCACUACCUGGCAGUACGGCUGGUAUAAAGAAGAUUCAAGCCGUGUCAUCAGUGAACUACAGGAACUCACAUUCGUCCUGUUACUGAGUCUGACGCAGGUAAAUACUCCUGUAUUGGAGCAGACAGAGAAGGAUCACGCAUCUCAAUAUCAGUGAAGCAGUUACACUGACAGUAUCAGUUCCCAGAGCAGUGUUAAGUGUUUCUCCACAGAAGAGGCUGACUGAAGGAGAUUCAGUGACUCUGAUCUGUCAGGUUUACGGCUCCUCUACAGGCUGGACAUUCAGCUGGUUCACUGUAACUGCCUCAUCAGACAAAAGCAAUGGUUAUAAGCGGCUCUCAGACAGCAGCAGAGGAGCUGGAGGAAACUACACUGUCAGUUCUGCUGCUCUGAAACACACAGGAGUUUAUGUGUGCACAGCAGAGAGAGAGAAAACCAGUCUAUAACUCAGACAUCAGCAACACACAGCCACUAUGGGUCACUGGUGAGUUCAGACUGAACCACAGAAUGAAUGAGACACUCACUGCUCCUUGAUCUUUUUAGAGCUUGAUGUGUCUUGAAAUGUUGUCAUAAU